RNAcentral lists this long non-coding RNA (1538 nucleotides) under Lathyrus oleraceus (garden pea). RNAcentral describes it as "Pisum sativum (pea) long non-coding RNA (PSAT_LNC030599)". Lineage: Eukaryota; Viridiplantae; Streptophyta; Magnoliopsida; Fabales; Fabaceae. The record is from RNAcentral.
UUCCGAUUUCAGAAAAAAAAACAAUAACAAAAACAUACAUCUUCUUCACUUAAAUUUCAGAUAUUCUUCACUAUAUUUGAGUUUUCAUCGGUCUUGUGCAAACUCUAGUAUAAGCUGAAUUAUCCUGAGUAUUCCUGCGUUCCAACUGUAAGACAUUUGAGAGUACUUAAAAUACUUAUAAGGAAGGUGAUUUUGUUCACGAUUCUAGUCUCGAUCCAUUUGAUUUAAUUAAUUUUUUCUAACAAUCUUAUAAGUAUAUACAAAUAAUGGUCACUGAGACUUCUGUUUCAAGUAUCAAAUAGAAGAAUGAAAAAAAAUUCAAAAUCAAAAAUCUAACGAGAAUGAAAAUCAUUGAUUCAGGUAUGUUUUAUUACUCUUUUGUAAAAAAAUUAUAGAAUUGUGGAAAUCAUAAUGUCAAGAUCAUAAAUAAAAUUAUAUUUGCAUUUGGUAUUAGAGUAAUGAUAUUAAUAUUAUGUCUUCCGAUGAUUAUGUGACAUAAAAUUAUAUAUGGUCUUAUAUCUGUUUUUGGAAUUAUUUUUAUAGGACUUAGAGUUUUGUUUGCAUUAUUACUUGAUUGGUAAUGCUAACUUGUGUCUUAAGGGCACAAGAUAAGAAAUCCACUUAUAAAAUGUUUGUAUUGAAAAAAACAAUUUAAAAAUUAAUUUUAACAUUACUUUCCUUAGGGGCACAAGUUAGCAUUACUCUUAUUUGACAUGGGUGCAUAUGUAUUUAUAUGGCAUGUGUGUGGUGUACUUAGUUGAUAAUUAAUUUCUAAUAUAAAUUCAAUAACUAAUGUUAAAGUAAAUGAUGGUUCAUUUAAAUCAAUACACAAUUUUCAAUGUAAUAUUACUUUCUUUAGUUCUUAACUUGUGCCCCUAUGACACAAGUUAACAUUAUCCUUAUUUGAUAUGGAUGCAUAUGUAUAUCUAUGGGAUGUGUUUGGUGUACGUCGUUGAUAAUUAAUUUCUAAUAUAAAUUCAAUAAUUAAUGUUAAAGUAAAGUAUGAUUUAUAUCAUAUAAUUCAUUGUUACCUGAAUAUUAAUUAUGUUUGAUAACUUUUGUAUAUAAAUGUAUGGUUUCAGAAUAUAUAAUGUCAACGUUGUAUGAUGCAUAUGGGAAAUAUAUUGUUUCAAGUAACUACAAAAUGGUGCAAUCAAUUAUUGACCGUAUAUGCAUCCAUGUCGAUAACAUACUCCAUAUCGCAUAUGACAACAUAUCGGUAACAAUAAUCUAAUUGAAUUUUAGAUUGGUUUGCUAUGUUUUUUAUUACUUCAUAGUAUCAUAGAUUCAUAAUUAUAGAUGUAUAAAAAUAAUGAUGCUUCACAUAAAGUUUCUGUUCAUGGAUUAUUAUUAAGUUUAAAUUAAUUUGAAAUGAAAAGCUAUGAAUGAAACAUACUAGGAAAAAGAAAAGGAAUUCAAUGGACUGACCCAUGGGUGUGGUAGAAAUCCUCCAUUGAACUGCACUAGUGAUGGAUUUGUUUCUAUGAAAAGCUUGAAAGUUCAAAGUUCUAGAUAGUACAAAUACCCGCUUGGACGAG